Exaiptasia diaphana is the source of this 374-nucleotide long non-coding RNA. RefSeq lists it as uncharacterized. The record is from RefSeq and is a predicted model, not a curated record. The transcript has 3 exons. Lineage: Eukaryota; Metazoa; Cnidaria; Anthozoa; Actiniaria; Aiptasiidae.
GUUUUUAUUCAGUCAACUGAGGCUCCUCUUCAGGCAUCAGCUGCAGUAGACAUCACUCAGCAAAAUGAUUCAACAAAAAUAUGGAAUGAAGAGCAAGGUUCCUUGAUAUCUUUUGAUGACAAUGGACCUGUAGCUCGUAAAGAAUCUGAGGUGUCAUUACUGUCAACAUCAAUCAAAGAGAUUGAAGAAAAAACCCAGGAGGUUUUGAACUUACAGCAGGAACUGAAUGAUGUGAAUGCUUCAUUAAAGGAAGAAAAAUGGUAUUCAGCAGCUUUGAAAGAAGAAGUUGAUAAAAUUACUAAAGAGAAAAAUGAAUUCCAGCAAAAGUGCAAAGAACAGAAAAAGGAAAAACAAGAAAUGGAAGAAAACUUCAA